This 520-nucleotide ribosomal RNA is filed under the name uncultured Glomus. Its description in RNAcentral is "SSU rRNA". It matches the Rfam family "Eukaryotic small subunit ribosomal RNA", at positions 569 to 1093 of the family's 1831-position model. The record is from RNAcentral. Lineage: Eukaryota; Fungi; Glomeromycota; Glomeromycetes; Glomerales; Glomeraceae.
AGCAGCCGCGGUAAUUCCAGCUCCAAUAGCGUAUAUUAAAGUUGUUGCAGUUAAAAAGCUCGUAGUUGAAUUUCGGGGUCAGUAGGUUGGUCAUGCCACUGGUAUGUACUGGUCUCACUGAUUCCUCCUUCCUGAUGAGCCGUAAUGCCACUAAUUUGGUGUUGCGAGGAAUCUGGACUGUUACUUUGAAAAAAUUGAGUGUUUAAAGCAGGCUAACGCUUGAAUACAUUAGCAUGGAAUAAUGAAAUAGGACGUUCGAUCUUAUUUUGUUGGUUUCUAAGAUUGACGUAAUGAUUAAUAGGGAUAGUUGGGGGCAUUAGUAUUCAAUUGUCAAAGGUGAAAUUCUUGGAUUUAUUGAAGACUAACUACUGACGAAAGCAUUUGCCAAGGNUGUUUUCAUUAAUCAAGAACGAAAGUUAGGGGAUCGAAGACGAUCAGAUACCGUCGUAGUCUUAACCAUAAACUAUGACCGACGUAGGGAUACGGAUGGAUUAGUUUUAAUUUUUUAANGUACUUCAGU